Molecule: long non-coding RNA, 1102 nt
Filed under: Strigops habroptila (Kakapo)
Lineage: Eukaryota; Metazoa; Chordata; Aves; Psittaciformes; Psittacidae
Description: lncRNA (ENSSHBG00005001003.1)
Source: RNAcentral
AAGCAAUUUCCCAGUGGAUUGCUCUGCAGUAGUACACUUGUUCCCUGCUACAAGCAAAUAAGGUUGUUAAAACUGGGUGGUACUCCGGCUCUGCUAGUGUGGAAAGUACUUAAUUUUGUCUUGAGCUGGAAAAUCAUCCAUGCCUGCUGCCAUUGUGCGUAUGGCAGUACGUGUUUUCCCAUAGCUGUGUCAGAGUCCAGCUCUUCGGGGUAUUACCACAGUGACAAACUGCUUCAGUCUGAUUUUUCAUUUCUAGGCAUCUGUAGUCCAUCUUCACUGACAAAAGCACCAGAUUCUGCCCCGUCAAACGAUUCAAGGUCCUUCCUUAACUUUGGCUUUGCAAAUCGAUUUUCAAAACCUAAAGGACCAAGAAAUCCGCCACCAGCAUGGGAUAUUUAGAAGGAUGGAUUUGAGCUUUCUGAAACAGCAGUGGAAACUGGUGAUAGGAUCUAGUGAAGACUACCGAAUGGUAUGGAAGGCCAACAGAGUGGACCAAAGCGGAAUGAGACUCCGGAUCGUGUAGCCACAGCAUCUGUGUGACUUCACUCACCUGUGUAGGUUUGCCAUAAUCAAAGACACUUACAGAGUCAAAUUCCUUAAAUGUUUACAUCACUUGGACUGAAAAAGAUGAGCAUCUCAGAUUUCAGAAAUAAUUUUUAAGUUUUUUUUCAUUUGAGUGAAUCAGUUUAUCUAGAUUUUUGGUCACUAAGACCAAGAUGCCGAUUGAUCAUACAGAAACUAAGCCAGUCUACCAGGCUGCAGAAUUCCCUGAUCAAACUGCCCUUGCUGUCUGAAAAAAAAAACCCCAAACCCAAAACACCACCACAGCAAGCAAAAUAUUGUGGUUUUAAAGCAAUGCAGUUUUUAAGGAUUUGUGACUGUAGCACAAAAUUUCAGAUGGUUAUCUCAGAUGACAAGAUUUCUAGACAAAUUCCACUGCUACUUAUAUCCUCAGUGGGGAGGGAUAAAGAUGUUGAAAAUGACUUUGUAUGAUUAUUUUUCUGUAGAAAGAGGAAAACAAAGUAGGUUUGAUUUUUUUUAAAAAAGGUUUCCUUUUUUUGUUUUUUCCCUUUUAUUUAAAAAAAAAAUAAAUAUCUACCUG